RNAcentral lists this ribosomal RNA (279 nucleotides) under uncultured bacterium. RNAcentral's name for it is "partial 16S ribosomal RNA". It matches the Rfam family "Bacterial small subunit ribosomal RNA", at positions 506 to 784 of the family's 1533-position model. The record is from RNAcentral.
UGCCAGCCGCCGCGGUAAUACGGAGGGUGCAAGCGUCGUUCGGAAUUAUUGGGCGUAAAGCGUGCGCAGGCGGUUUCGUAAGUCAUUUGUUAAAUCUUCAGGCUCAACCUGGAGGCAGCAGGUGAUACUGCGAGACUAGAGGAUAGGAGAGGAAGACGGAAUGCCCGGUGUAGGGGUAAAAUCCGUUAAGAUCGGGUAGAACACCAAAUGCGAAAGCAGUCUUCUGGAACAUUCCUGACGCUGUUGCACGAAAGCGUAGGUAGCGAAUCGGAUUAGAUA